RNAcentral lists this long non-coding RNA (9372 nucleotides) under Sorghum bicolor (sorghum). Its description in RNAcentral is "long non-coding RNA (SBIC_LNC002475)". The record is from RNAcentral. Lineage: Eukaryota; Viridiplantae; Streptophyta; Magnoliopsida; Poales; Poaceae.
CCAUGCUAAUGACUUUCUAGAGUAUCUAAUUGAGGUGCUUAUCAUAUUUAUUAUGUGGCUAGAUCACAUUAGUUAUCCUUGUCACUAUUAUUAUUUCAUAUAUCUUUUAUGUGACAAUUAUCCCUGUAUGAAGAGUUAGAUAUAAUGUUCUCAAUUAUACAUGCAAUGAUAGAUGCUCAAUCUCAUAUUCUAUUCUGUAAUCAAUAGUCAUGACUUCUAAUCCCUUCCUAGUGGUAAAAAUAUAAAUAACGAUACCUGGAAUACUUCCUGAUUAAAAUGCUACAUCGGUAUUAAUCUGUGCGCUUGCAGAUCCCAUUCAUUAUUUAUUUAGAAGAGCAAUUGCAUAUUUCAAUACCGUGUCUCUUAUAUCAUGCUGGGGAUGACAACUUGGCUUAAGUGGUGUGAGGGAUAGGUUUGGCAUUUUUGGCACCGUUACUAAAUUUAGAGAACUUAGUCUACUUUUGGUAAUGAUGUUAAGAAUACCCAACAAGCAUUUUUGGCGCCGUUGCCGGGGAAGGUUGAUUAAUAAUCAAGAAUGGAAUAAAAGAUUUUGUGUUAUCAUUCGCAUCACUAAUGUGAUUGAGCUUAUCUAUUCUCUCAUACAGUUUUACCCUGAUAUUUUUCUAUUUUAUCUUAUGCAGGGGAAUGUAUGAAUAGAAGACAUCUUCCAGGAAAUUUUGUUGACAAUCCCGAAGCAUUAUUCAAGAAGACGAGAGCCAAGCUCAAGAAGAGAUCAUCAACACUUCAGCAAGAAGCUUCAUCCAAUCAAGAAGAUCACCGGAACUUGUCUUCAGAGUUCGAAGCCAUGGCGAACAAAUCAAUCCGCGAGUUCUCAGCUCCCACUACGGACAACAUCCGCACUGGACCUGCUGCAGAGAUCGAUGGCAACUUUGAGCUCAAGCCUGGACUUAUCAACAUGGUGCAAUCCAACCAGUUCUGUGGGAAGGCAUAUGAAGAUGCUAGUGCUCAUUUACAACACUUCCUGGAGAUUUGCAUCACAUUCACCAUAUCAGGAGUUUCCAAAGAUGCUAUACUACUUCGCCUCUUCCCAUUCUCACUGUUAGGAAGAGCGAAGCAGUGGUUCUACGCUACAAAGGAGAAGAAUACUACGUGGGCACUCUGCUCAACAAACUUCCUGGCAAAGUUUUUCCCAUGGGCAAGACCAAUGCUCUCCGUGGGAAGAUUACAAGUUUUCCGCAACAAAAUGAUGAAUCCGUUCCAGAAGCAUGGGAGCGCUUCCAAGACUACAUCCUAGAAUGUCCCCAUCAUGGAAUGGAGAGUUGGCUAUUGAUGCAGACAUUUUAUCAUGGGCUCGGCAACAGUGCCCGAGAAACCAUGGAUGCUGCAGCCGGAGGAGCAUUCUUAUCACUUACCAUACCACAAGCUACAGCUCUUGUGGAGAAGAUGGCGUCCAAUCAAAGCUAGAAUGAAGAGAGGACCCAGACACGCAAGAGAGGUGGAGGUAUGCAUCAGCUGAAGGAGGUAGACAUGCUGUCUGCAAAGCUAGACCUGCUCAUGAAGAAGCUCGACGAUAGAGCUGGAGACAAGAAAGAAGUUAUGCACAACUACGACUCUCACAUGACUUGUGAGGAGUGUGGAGAUACUGGACACUCAGGCAAUCACUGCCCUGAGAUAUUUGAGGAUGUGAACUACAUCAACAACAACAACUACUACUACUACAACCGUCCUCAACAAAAUCAAGGUUGGAAUCAACAGAGGCCUAACUACUCAGGUAAUUAUCAAGGUAACAAUUCCAACAACAACAAUAAUAAUUUUCCACCUUUGAGAGAGUUAGUGUCUAAUCAAGAAAAGCUAAUGGAUAACCUAUCUAAGAAAUUGGCAUCUAAUGAUAAAAUGCUAGAAAAUAUAAAUAAUAGAAUGGAUAAUUUCUCUACUGCCAUCAAGAAUCAAAUUAGCUUUAAUAAAAUGAUUGAAUCUCAGUUAAAUCAAAUAGCUGCUGCUGUUCCUACUAGUAACCCCGGUAUACCAUCACAACCGGAAGGAUUAGAAUCUGCAAAUCUUGUAGACAUGUUUGAUGCAGGUAAUUGGAGUAACCCCAUCACUGAAUUCUCUACUGACCUUCUGCCGGUCAAGAGAGGCGAUCCAGGACGCCUCGUCAUCCCGAUCUCCAUCGGCAUGGUGGACGUUCCAGAAGCACUCUGCGACUUUGGCUCUAGCGUCAACAUUAUACCCAGGGUACUCUAUGAAAAAUUCUUUACAUAUCCUUUAUUAGAGACAUCCAUGUGUUUGCAGUUUGCAGAUCAGACGAUAACUUUUCCAAAGGGAAUAUUGAAGAACCUUUGCGUCCGAGUUGGUACCUUAUAUGCUCUAGCAGACUUCAUAGUGGUAGAGACCGGAAAUGAUGAGAGAGCACCUAUCAUCCUAGGGAGGCCAUUCUUGAACACCACGGGAGCUAUCAUCUACGCCAGUGCUGCCAAGAUCAGUUUCUAUGUCAAAGGGAGGAAGGAGACAUUUUUUUCAAGAACAAGACUACACAAAUUCCAGAUCAAUCCAGACGUAAAUCAAGGAAGAGGACCAACAGGAGGAACAGGAACAAGCAAGUGUGGACCGAGUCACCUACGAUGGUCACUGCAGUUCAUGGAGGCCAAGACAACCAACUUAAGUCACCGCUUUUGACCAAGAAGGACGACCCAGGAAUGUCAAGCAUCUACUGCUCCAUAAAUGGAUACAACUUCUACAAAGCGACUUGUGACACCGGAUCGGGCGUCAACAUAAUGGCCGCAGUCACCUAUCGGCUCUUGUUCGGAACCAUGCCACUAAGACCAACGUACAUUCAACUCCAGAUGGCAGAUCAGACAUUUCGAGAAGUCAAAGGAAUAGAAACUGAUGUCCCAGUCAAAAUAGACGAUCACUUUGUCUACACAGACAUUCAAGUUAUUGACAUGGGAGAAGAUGAAUACGAUCCACCCAUCAUCCUUGGAAGACAGUUCCUCAGCACCAUUAAAGCAAUUAUCUACAUUGGAACCGGAGAAGUCCAUAUGCACUUCCCCUCAGAGAAGGUACGCCGUUAUUUUACUGACCCUAACUAUACCAUUGAAGAAUCUAAGCAGGUAAGAAAGCGACGCAACCGCAACCAGAGGAGGCAGAUCAUCAUGGACGGAUGGGCAGACUACGAAGGAGAAGUUGUAAGGUCAGAAGACGUAGAGUUUAAACAGAAUUAUCCAGAGGAGACUGAAGCACCAAGUCAGGUAUGAAAAAUGAAGAUAACUAUAAAUGAAGAGGAGGCGCUGCCAGAAGUACCGACUACGCCACCCAACGAACCUCAGGAUGAUUAAGAAAAUGGAGAGUCCCGUUCGGAGGACUUAAAAAUACCGAACGCCUUGCCAAGAGGUAAACUUGGUAGUUAUCCUUUCCCUUUCAAUUAUUUUAAAUAGUUUACUUAGUUAAUCAUGUUCAUACUAUCUUAAAAAUAAAAGAAAAUAAAAAUGUAAAAAACAGUAAGCCCCAUGUGAGUAGACGAGUGGCAUAAAACCCAUAAGUACAUUCACUGUGGUGGCAUAAAAAAAAUAAUUAUUUUUCUGCUCUAUAAAAAUAAAAAUAUAAAAAUAGGGAGUAAUAUUUAUUAAGGAGUCUCAACAUGAUAAAGGCUAGAUAUUUAUGCUAACACUUAACCAGUUCCACAAGCUUUGUUGUCUAUUUGAACUCCACAGAAUUUAAGAAUCAAGAAGACUGGCAGACGGAGGACAUUCUAAUCGCUGUCAGAAUGCUGCUGACUUUCAAAUACACCUCUGCCACCUGCUAGCUACAUCAAGGGAAAUUACGUCAAAAUUCAGCUUGGGGGAGAGCACCCCCAUUUAUCUCGAUAAGUAUUUCUAUCUAUCUUUAUACUUAUAUUAUUUUAGAAUAUAAAUACACAUAAACUAUGGAAAACCAAAUAAAGAGUUUGUGCUUAUAUAUAUAUAUGUCUUUUGCUUAGUGUGUUUAAUAAAUAAAUAAAGUGGCUAUGCUAAUCUGUAUCUGAAUAAAACUUAAGCAUGGAUAUGAUGAAUAGUUGCUCUGCCUAAUUUGCAUAUUUUAAGUUCUCUCUCAAGUUUAGACAUAACUGUUAUAAUUUAAAGCUUGCUCUAGACCUAAACUUGUGGGAUGAAAACUUGAUCUGAAGUCUAAGUUGUUAACGGAUACGAUAUGGGAAGGUUGAGCUGCUGUUUAUCUGUUCCUAGAGAUGCUAGAAUUCUGGAGAAUUUUAUCUUUGAAAAUCUUUAUAAUGUUGCAUGAUGAGUUCCUGUAUGAUGAGAGUUUAAAUUCCUACCACAGCCAUAUAUACAUGCUUGCUAGACUUGGAGCCACACAUUUAAUAUUUACUACUUAUGAGCAUUGAGUGUGGUCAAGGUGUGUAGACCCUUAGGAGCUUGUCAUGUGGUUAAAUCAAGAUUCACUUGCACGUUCACUCAUAUAUGCUACUUCUACUCCGGAAGUACCAUCCACAUAUAUCCAUCCAUUUCCAUCUCCAGAAUCACCCAAAAAUAUUCUACUCCUAAUUUGGGAGAGAAUAACCAAAAAUAUUCCUGUUUUUCCCUUGUGAAAUAAAUGCUCAAGUUAUCUUGUUACUACCACUUGCUAUAUUAUCUCAAGAGAUGAGUGCUUAUAAAAAAAAGAGAGAAAAAAAAUAAUACGAGGAAAUAAAAAUGAGCAAGUGCUCGGAACCUCGAAAGAAAGAAAAAGUGAGACGAGAGGUAAAAAUGGACAAGUGUCCGACAGUAGAAUUAGGGGUACAAGAUACCCACCUGAGAGAAAAGAAAAGAAAAAGAAGAGCAUCUCAAUCUCCUCAUAAAGUUUCAAAAGCAAGGAAGGUAUGUAUUCCCUCAAAGAGCAAAGUAGAAUUAGACUUCCACCAUACACCAUUCAUUCGCCACACAUGCACAUCUUGAUUUGGCUUAUUGAUUUGUUUCUUUGGAUCCAUGGUUUGACUAUACAAUAAAUGCCUUGUAAGUAUGUAUACUUUAUCUCCCACCUAUGAGCUCCAGAUAUUAAAGCCUUAUUAGAGUAGGGUGAGAGAGAAGACAAUGUCAUUAUGCUUUAUAUCAUAAAUACCACAUAUCUUGAGAGAAGGCAUAUACCAUCACUGCCUUGGUAAGGAUCCAGAAAUAUCACAAAAGAGAGAUCUAAGAGAGUCAUAUAAGGAAUCUUUGAGUUUUAUUUGAAAAUCUGCAAAAACCCCAGAGCUUUAGCUGAUCAAGAAUAAGAGACAUGGCACUUGGCUAGACUGUUCUAUCUUUUAACCACUCAAGACAGAAGUGACAGUUACAAGUCCCAUGGUGAAGGUAAAGUAAGUAAGUUUUAAGUCUUGACAGUUUACUCUAACUCAGAGAUAAGAUCUUAUUUAAAAAGCAUGUGUACCGUCAAUUUUUAAAAAUAUUGCAACACUUAUGAUCCAUAGCUGAGUCUAUCCUUGCUCAGGGACGAGCAAGAGGUAAGCUUGGGGGAGUUUGUUGACGGUCCUUAAGUAUCAAAUUUAAUUAUCAAAUAAAUAAAGAAAAUGAUCCAAAUGAAAUCAAAAUCUAGACUUUAGGGUUUUAUCUGACAGAAUUCCACGAGUUUUGGUGUUUGUCUAUUUCUGCAGGGGGUUAUCAGGAAAUACGGAAGAAAGGCCCACACGUCGGGAUUACAUAGAGAUAUUAACGUGCCGCGCAAUUAUCUUACAUCUAGAAGACUCCAGAAGCCACGAGACUGAAGCGGAGGCGGAACGGGGCCAGAGGCAGGGCGCCCGCCCUCCUGUCCUGGGCGCCCGCCCCCUCCCUGAGUCCAAUCAGGACUCUGCUUCGUGGGAGAUUUCCACCGACCUAAAGGAUGAAUCUAAACCAUACAAUCUAUGUCGGUUUGAUCCAAUGGCCCAUAUUCACUUGAAGGGACUAUAAAACCAGACCCCUUGGGCCCUGGAGGAGGGAGCCUCUCAACCCUAAUUCAUUAUUCUCAAGGGAGAAGAAGCCUCUGAUCAAGAUUAGAGCCACCACAUCAAUUAGAUAUCUAGAUUAGCAUAGCUACAUAGGAUUAGAACUAGAAGGAGUCAAUCUUCGAUUGGUUUCCGGAUCUGUCAGGAGGAUUCUUGGUAAUUCUCUAAUUGUGCUUCUAAUUACUUUCUAAUUAUCUUUGUUCUUCAAUAUUAUGAAUAUGACUUUGUUCUACUUCAAUAUAUUGCUUAUGACUUUGCUCUACUUGCUUAUAUUCAAGAUUAUAUUGUUCUUAGUAUAUCAUAGUUAUGUACUUGGCUUAGUUAGAUUCAAUCUAUAUACAUGCUUAGGAUCGUAUAGCGUUUAUCCAUCGGAUCCAUGGGUAAAUGAUAGAUAUUGUGUAGGUGUGGUGCUUAUACCGUAUUUAUCUGCGAUUGUACCCAAUAUGCCAGAUCGUGGGGUGGUUCGUGAUAGUGACAGCUUCAUUGAUUCUUAUAUAGUCCCCCUCUCGUGUAUUGGGCUGGCAGAGCAACAUUAUUACAAGGGAGUGAUUGCUAUAUUUCUCAUAUUCCUUGCUAAUAUCACUAUGCAUGGGCGUAGUCUUGUCUCACAAUGAUUGCUAAGUAUGCUUGCACUAAUUAUGAUAAUGCUAGACUAUAUAGUUGAGAAUAACUUAGGGAAUAUUCUUGUAGUUCGUUCUAAUACCAUGCUAAUGACUUUCUAGAGUAUCUAAUUGAGGUGCUUAUCAUAUUUAUUAUGUGGCUAGAUCAGAUUAGUUGUCCUUGUCACUAUUAUUAUUUCAUAUAUCUUUUAUGUGACAAUUAUCCCUGUAUGAAGAGUUAGAUAUAAUGUUCUCAAUUAUACAUGCAAUGAUAGAUGCUCAAUCUCAUAUUCUAUUCUGUAAUCAAUAGUGAUGAUUGCUAAUCCCUUCCCAGUGGUAAAAAUAUAAAUAACGAUACCUGGAAUACUUCCCGAUUAAAAUGCUACAUCGGUAUUAAUCUGUGCGCUUGCAGAUCCCAUUCAUUAUCUCUACAACUAAAAAUUAUGAAGAAGACCCAUCUAGCACAUCCAUGGUGAAGCCACAACUCCCUUUUUACUAUGCCAUGAUAGGCUAUCUCAUCAACUCAGGCACCACUCACCCAUGCAUGUAAAAUUGUUUUAUCGAAUUAAAAAAAGGCAUAACUCUUAAACUGAGGAUAUAAAUUAAAUUUCGAUUGCACCAUUAAAUUUCUUAUAACAAAUCCUUUUAAACAAGAUCACACAUGGAUAUAUUUAGAUAAAAUUUUAUUAAUGAAUAUUUAUCUCUACAACUAAAAAUUAUGAAGAGGACCGGUCCACAACUCUCAUUUCUUUAGUGGUCUUUUUUACUGUGCGAUGACACGCUAUCCCAUCAAUCUAGGCCCCACUCACCUAUGCAUGUAAAAUUAUUUUAGCGAAUUAAAAAAGUCAUAACUCAUAAACCAAAGAUAUAAAUUAAAUUCCGAUUGCACCAUUAAAUUUCUUAUAACAAAUCCUUUAAAACAAGAUCACACAUGGAUAUAUUCAGAUAAAAUUUUAUUAAUGAAUAUUUAUCUCUACAACUAAAAAUUAUGAAGAGGACCCGUCCACAACUCUCAUUCCUUUAGUGGUCUUUUUUACUGCGUGAUGACACGCUAUCCCAUCAACCUAGACCCUACUCACCUAUGCAUGCAAAAUUGUUUUAGCGAAUUAAAAAAAGUCAUAACUCAUAAACAAAGAUAUAAAUUAAAUUCCGAUUGCACCAUUAAAUUUCUUAUAACAAAUCCUUUAAAACAAGAUCACACAUGGAUAUAUUUAGAUAAAAUUUUAUUAAUGAAUAUUUAUCUUAUAAAGAUAAAAAUAAAUAUUUUCUUUUGUUAAGUAGAGACAAUAUUCUAGGUUCAACAAAGUAAAAAAUGUAAUCGAUUUAGAAGAAUAGUAUUUUGGUUUUAGAUUUAUGAAACUAUUAUUACAAUAUACAUAAAAAUACAUAAAUACAUAACAUAGAUAAAAAUAAUAAUAAAAUCUAGAGUAAAAAGCAUAAGAAAAAAUAAAAACAAAAUAGAGAAAAAUUUCAAAUAAUAUCAAAAGGUUACUUUUCAAAUAUCGUAAAUAUAUUUAUAGAACAUUAACAUCACUAAAUACAUCAUAGAACAUCAUUAAAUAUAUUAUAGAACAUCACAUCUAUUAUAGAUUAUAUGUAUACUAAGUGAACACCAUAAGAAACAUCAUGGAACAUCAUAUGUAUACUACGUAAACAUGACAUAACACAACAUAGAACACUAAAUAUAUAAUACAUAAACAUCACAUAUAUAUAGAAAAUAAAAAUAAAAAAUAAAAUUACUAAGAAGAAAAAUAAAAAAACAAACAUGAUUAAAAAAUGAUAAAAAUGCAUAGAGCCAAUAAAAUAAAUAAAUAAUUUAAAUAAGGAUAAAAAUAAGAUUAAAAGAAAUUAAAAUAUAAAAUAAGAAUGAAGAAACAUAGAAAACCUAAAAAAAAGAAAAACAAAUAGAAGCAAGGAAGAACAAUAAAACUAAAACCAAAAGAAAAAGAAAAUAAAAGGUAAAAUUAAAACAAGAAAAGAAUAAGGAAAGGAUAGGAAAUAAAAUAAAAUUGAAAAACUAAAACUGAAAAGAAAUGAAAAAGGAAGAAUAUAGACAGAAAAAAUAAAAUAACAAUGAAGAAACAUAGAGUAUGUGGAUUUUAAAAUCCGUAACAACGUACGGGCAUUAACCUAGUUUAUUUAGAAGAGCAAUUGCAUAUUUCAAUAGCGCGUCUCUUAUAUCAUGCUGGGGAUGACAACUUGUCUUAAGUGGUGUGAGGGAUAGGUUUGGCAUUUUUGGCACCGUUACUAAAUUUAGAGAACUUAGUCUACUUUUGGUAAUGAUGUUAAGAAUACCCAACACCUGCAUCAAACAUGUCUACAAGAUUUGCAGAUUCUAAUCCUUCCGGUUGUGAUGGUAUACCGGGGUUAGUAGCAGGAACAGCAGCAGCUAUUUGAUUUAACUGGGAUUCAAUCAUUUUAUUAAAGCUAAUUUGAUUCUUGAUGGCAGUAGAAAAAUUAUCCAUUCUAUUAUUUAUAUUUUCUAGCAUUUUAUCAUUAGAUGCCAAUUUCUUAGAUAGGUCAUCCAUUAGCUUUCCUUGAUUAGACACUAACUCUCUCAGAGGUGGAAAAUUAUUAUUAUUGUUGUAAGAACUGUUACCUUGAUAAUUACCUGAGUAGUUAGGCCUCUGUUGAUUCCAACCUUGAUUUUGUUGAGGACGGUUGUAGUAAUUGUUGUUGUUAUUGUUGAUGUAGUUCACAUCCUCAAGUAUCUCAGGGCAGUGAUUGCCUGAGUGUCCAGUGUCUCCACACUCCUCACAAGUCAUGUGAGAGUCAUAGAUGUGCAUAACUUCUUUCUUGUCUCCAGCUCUAUCGUUGAGCUUCUUCAUGAGCAGGUCUAGCUUUGCAGACAACAUGUCUACC